RNAcentral lists this unclassified non-coding RNA (234 nucleotides) under plant metagenome. Its description in RNAcentral is "partial contains small subunit ribosomal RNA, internal transcribed spacer 1, and 5.8S ribosomal RNA". The stretch from base 1 to 55 matches the Rfam family "Eukaryotic small subunit ribosomal RNA", at positions 1778 to 1831 of the family's 1831-position model. The record is from RNAcentral.
GGAAGUAAAAGUCGGUAACAAGGUUUCCGUAGGUGAACCUGCGGAAGGAUCAUUCAUAAUAAAGUGUUUUAUGGCACUUUUUAAAAAUCCAUAUCCACCUUGUGUGCAAUGUUAGAUCUCGUCAAUCUUGGCGAGAUUUUUAUACAUCAACUCAUUCUUUAACUAAUUUGUCUGAAAAAUAUUAUGAAUACUUAAUUCAAAAUACAACUUUCAACAACGGAUCUCUUGGCUCUC